RNAcentral lists this ribosomal RNA (484 nucleotides) under uncultured bacterium. RNAcentral's name for it is "partial 16S ribosomal RNA". It matches the Rfam family "Bacterial small subunit ribosomal RNA", at positions 30 to 507 of the family's 1533-position model. The record is from RNAcentral.
AUUGAACGCUGGCGGCAGGCCUAACACAUGCAAGUCGAGCGGAUGAAGGGAGCUUGCUCCUGGAUUCAGCGGCGGACGGGUGAGUAAUGCCUAGGAAUCUGCCUGGUAGUGGGGGAUAACGUCCGGAAACGGGCGCUAAUACCGCAUACGUCCUGAGGGAGAAAGUGGGGGAUCUUCGGACCUCACGCUAUCAGAUGAGCCUAGGUCGGAUUAGCUAGUUGGUGAGGUAAAGGCCUACCAAGGCGACGAUCCGUAACUGGUCUGAGAGGAUGAUCAGUCACACUGGAACUGAGACACGGUCCAGACUCCUACGGGAGGCAGCAGUAGGGAAUAUUGGACAAUGGGCGAAAGCCUGAUCCAGCCAUGCCGCGUGUGUGAAGAAGGUCUUCGGAUUGUAAAGCACUUUAAGUUGGGAGGAAGGGCAGUAAGUUAAUACCUUGCUGUUUUGACGUUACCAACAGAAUAAGCACCGGCUAACUUCGUG